This 269-nucleotide ribosomal RNA is filed under the name uncultured prokaryote. RNAcentral describes it as "partial 16S ribosomal RNA". It matches the Rfam family "Bacterial small subunit ribosomal RNA", at positions 524 to 792 of the family's 1533-position model. The record is from RNAcentral.
UACAGAGGUGGCGAGCGUUGUUCGGAUUUACUGGGCGUAAAGGGCGCGUAGGCGGCCGCGUGUGUCGCGUGUGAAAUCCCCGGGCUCAACCCGGGAAGUGCGCGCGAAACUGCGGGGCUCGAGCGGAGGAGGGGAGAGCGGAAUUCAUGGUGUAGCGGUGAAAUGCGUUGAUAUCAUGAGGAACACCGGUGGCGAAGGCGGCUCUCUGGAAUCCUGCUGACGCUGAGGCGCGAAAGUCGGGGGAGCAAACAGGAUUAGAUACCCCGGUA